Molecule: transfer RNA, 72 nt
Filed under: Sphaerodactylus townsendi
Lineage: Eukaryota; Metazoa; Chordata; Lepidosauria; Squamata; Sphaerodactylidae
Description: tRNA-Ala
Rfam family: tRNA
About the family: Transfer RNA (tRNA) molecules are approximately 80 nucleotides in length. Their secondary structure includes four short double-helical elements and three loops (D, anti-codon, and T loops).
Source: RNAcentral
GGAGCUGUAGCUCAGAAAAAGAGCACCUGCUUGGCAUGCAGAAGACCCCAGGUUCAAUCCCUAGCAUCUCCA